Molecule: long non-coding RNA, 4477 nt
Organism: Mercurialis annua (annual mercury)
Lineage: Eukaryota; Viridiplantae; Streptophyta; Magnoliopsida; Malpighiales; Euphorbiaceae
Exons: 27
Source: RefSeq, a predicted model, not a curated record
CUUAUUAGGAUUUUAGUAUACGAUUAUAAAUAAGCCGAACCGAACCCGCCACCAUUAUUUUUCUCUUUGCCCGCCAUUUCAUUUCAUUUAUUUUCUCUAUCUCUGUCUCUGUUUUCUUUCUAUUUUAAUUUUGUUUUCUCUCUGAUUGUUCGCGUUUCUCUGGUUCUGUGCUCAUAUUUAUGGAUUCUUCUAUAUAUCUGUGUUUGUUUGCUCUGUUUUUGUAUUUUGAUUUUGUUUUCUCUCUGAGUUCUUUAGUUCUCUGUUUCUCUCCGUGUUUGUGUUCGUUUAUACCCGUGUUAGUGCUUCUAUGUUCUUUAUAUGUGUGUUUAUAUUUGUCUAUAUCUCUCUCGGUGUAUUUUGUGUUUCAGUGUUUGUGAUUUUGUGAGUGUCUUUCUUUAGGUCAGUAAUAUUUGUGAUUUUGUGCAAAAUCAGUGUUUGUGAUUUUGAGUGCGAUUGUGUUCGUGUUAGUAAUUUUUGUUUUUGUGUUUCUCUUGUGAGUGGAUUUGUCUGGCUAGUCGUGAUUUUGUUUUUUUCUACAUGUGUUUGUGAAUUUUUAGUUUCUCUGAGAAUUUUUUGUGUGCUUUGCGGCUUGAUUUGAUUUGGGUUCUAGGUUUUGUGUAUGUGGUUUUGUGUCCUUUCCUUUGUGAUUUUGUGUAAUUUUGGGUGUGAACGAUUUUGUAUUUUUGUGUCUUAGUGUUUGUGGAUUUGUGUAUUUUUUGCCUUAGUGUUUGUCUGUCUUUUAGUUUGUAGGUGUCUUCUUUGUGAGUGUAUUUGUGUGAGUAAUUUUUGCUUUGUUUUUCUCUUUUAAAUGGGUUUGUGUGCCUAGUUGUGUUUUUUAUUUUUUAGCUACAUGUUUGUGAAUUUUCAGUUAUUCUAAGAAUCUUUUUAUGAGCUUUGAGUUUUUUGGGUUUGUAGUUUGAUUUGAUUGGGUUCUAGGUAGGUAUUGCCCUUGAUUGUUGGUACAAUUUUCAUGUAAGUUUUGAGCAUUUUUUGUGAGAUUGGUGAAUGAUUAGUCUUAGAUUUCAUAUCUAAACAGCUGAAUAGUUUUUGAUUUUUUAUUUGAAUAUCUUUAUACUUCCUCAGUUGUGUGUGUACAUUUGCGCCCUCGAUUGCCCGAAUUUCUUGAUGUUACAGCCAAGCAACUAGUUAGUAAACCUGUUUUCAUGGUUUUCUUUUUAUUUAGUUGGUUGUAGAUUUACCUAAUAUACGUAUAUCACAUAGCACACCUAAGCUAAAGGAAACUGUCUGUUGCAAACAGUUCUUGUUGGGCUACUGGAGAAUUAGUAGUCAAGGUUCGUCAAGAGAUUUUCCAAUUGUUGUGACUCUUAUAUCAAGUUUAGUAUAAUUCCUUCAAUAUCCAGAGGAUUCGUGAUGAUAUUAAAAAGGAGGAUGCUUUCCAAGGCCUAUGCGCAAUGGUCCGAGCAAAUCCUUUGAGAGCUUUAAGUUCACUUUUAUUCAUGUGCGAAGCUAUUCCAAGUUGGCAUGAAAUCAGGAGUAAAGAGCUACACAGUGAACUUUGUCAAGUGUUGCAUGGCUAUAAACAGAUUAUUGCAUCCUGUUCCAAUUGGAUUUAAAAAAACAAAAAAACAAAGACUUGAAAAAGAAUCUGAAGCAAGAGGCAACACAGUUGGGACAUUACAAGACUCAAUUUCAGCAAAUGAAUAAUAGGAAAGAGGAAGUUUGGCGAGCACAGCGGUGGGGGAGAAUCCAUAAUCUUCUUCUUGAGGGAGGCCUUACAUAUAAUGCAAUUAGCGAGUCUCUUGCAAAGUCCACUGUUGCUUUUACGGAUGGUGUUUUGAGCUAUUGGAAUUUCUUGAGGCGAGAGACAUUCAUGUUCUCAUAUUUUCAGCGGGUAUCAUAGAGGAGGUCCUCAGGCUGAAACUUCACAGGUCUUUUAAAAAUAUCAAAGUUGUCUCAAAUAGAGUGGUAUUUGACAAUGACGCCCUCAUUUCUUUUAAAGGUCCUCCUAAUAUCGAGUUGUAAAUAUCUUAUCAGAUUGGCCUAUAAUGCUAUGAAAUUCCACAAGCUGCUCGAAGCAUUAUGUGUUCACAAAGAUUGAAAAAUCAGGAACCUACCAGCUAUUUGGAGAUAUGUGGGAGAUUGAAAAAUGGGUUUGCUUGUAUCUACUAUUUAGAGAUUUAGUUAUUUUUUUGAUUUUUGGUUAUUGGGUGUUGUGUAUCUACUUAUGGUUAUAUGACCUUCCAGGAUUUUGUUAGAUUGUGGAGCAAUAUGAAAAAAGUAGGUUUCUUCUUAAAUUUGGUUUUACAAACAGUAUUUUCCAAAUCAUAUCUUAGUUGAUCAUGUGAAGAAUGCCAUAUAAUUGGUACUUUGGAUAUUGAAUCGGAUGAAAUCCGAGAUCAUCUUGCACCGUCUUCAAUAAAGCAAAGAUCAUGAUAUAUCCUCCAAUAAAGAAAUCAUCAAAAUUAGGUGAUAUUUACCUGGAUUAAGGGAGAUUGUGGAUAAGGUACAUAAGGGACUUCUUGCUCUUAAAUCAAUUAUUGAGAAGUUGAAGGUAGAACAACAACGCCAACUACUGGAAAUGGAAUGAGAGGACUCAUCAAGGAGGCUGUAGCAACAGAAGAAAAGAGGCGGAGCAGAAGAGGCAUGCUUUUGAACUUGAGCAGAGGAAGAAAAACCAAAUGAUCCUUCAAGAAAUAGAGCAGAGAGAGAAAUAAAUAUCACAGGCAUUGCUAGAUGAGAGAAGAGGUAAGCGAGAAGAGCCAAAACAAAAGAGGGAGCUUCACUGAUGAAAGCUGCCUUUUAACAACGAUUAGUGGAAGAGAUGGUCCUUCAUGAAUGUUAGCAACAGCUAGAGACUGAACUGAGGAGACAACACCAUGAUGGGAUUUCAUAAACCUGAGCAGCGGCUACCUCCUGUAAUGUUUAAUGACAUUGCAAGACUCAAUUUUAGCAAAUGAAUAAUAGGAACGAGGAAGUUUGGCGAGUACAGCGGUAAAGGGAGGUGGGGGAAAACCCAUAAUCUUCUUCUUGAGGGAGGCCUUACAUAUGAUGCAAUUAGCGAGUCUCUUGCAAAGUCCACUAUUGCUUUUACGGAUGGUGUGUUUGAGCUAUUGAAAAUUUCUUGAGGUGAGAGACAUUCCUGUUCUCAUAUUUUCAGUAGAUAUCAUAGAGGAGGUCCUCAGGCAGAAACUUCGCAGGUCUUUUAAAAAUGUCAAAGUUAUCUCAAAUAGAAUGGUAUUUGACAAUGACAGGCACCUCAUUUCUUUUAAAGAUCCUCCUAAUCAGAUUGUUAUAAAAAUUAAUGCUAUCAAAAUUCCACAAGCUGCUCAGAUGAUUAUGUUUUCACAAAGAUUGAAAAAUCAGGAAUCUACCAGCUAUUUGGAGAUAUGUGGGAGAUUGAUAUAUGGGUUUGCUUGUAUCUACUACUUUUAGAUCUAGUUUUUUUUUUAUCUUUGGUUAUUGGGUGUUGUGUCUCUACUUGUUUUUGUUUAAUGGUUAUAUGACCUUCCAGGAUUCCGUUAUAUGGUGGAGCAAUAUGAAAAAAUAUGUUUCUUUUUAAAUCUGGUUUUAGAAACAGUAAUUUCCAAAUCAUAUGUCAGUUGAUCAUAGUACAUAGCACACCUAAGCUCAAGAAAACUGUCUGUUGCAAACAGUGCUUGUUGGGCUACUGGAGUAUUAGCAUUCAGGGUUCGUCAAGAAAUUUUCCAAUUAUUACGACUCUUAUAACAAGUUUAGUAUAAUUCCUUCAACAUCCAGAGAAAAUAGUGCAAUCACACUUGAGAGGCUUGCAUGGUUCUGUCCUGAGAUUGCAUCACCUCAUAUGGAGAAUUUCAUACAAUCAUGGUGUAUUGCUUUGUCUAUGAUUCGUGAUGAUAUUGAAACGGAGGAUUCUUUCCAAGGCCUAUGCACAAUGGCACGAUCAAAUUCUUCGAGAGCUUUAAAUUCACUUUUAUUCAAGUGUGAAGCUAUUCCAAGUUGGCAUGAAAUAAGGAGCAAAGAGCUACACAAUGGACUUUGUUAGGUCUUGUAUGGCUAUAAACAGUUUAUCUCGUGUAAUGCUAAUGCUCUGAUUACUGCAUCCUGUUCCAAUUGGAUUUAAAAAAAAAACAGACUUGAAAAAGAAUCUGAAGUAAGAGACAUUACAAGACUCAUUUUCAGCAAAUGAAUAAUAGGAAAGAGGAAGUUUGGCGAGCACAACGAUGAAGUUAGCGAGUCUCUUGCAAAGUCCACUAUUGCUUUUACGGAUGGUGUUUUUGAGCUAUUGGAAUUUCUUGAGGAAUCUACCAGCUAUUUGGAGAUAUGUGGGAGAUUGAAAUAUGGUUUGCUUGUAUCUACUACUUUGAGAUCUUGUUUUUUUUUUUAUCUUUGGUUAUUGGAUGUUGUGUCUCUACUUGUUUUUGUUUAAUGGUUAUGACCUUCCAGGAUUCCGUUAUAUGGUGGAGCAAUAUGAAAAAAUAGGUUUCUUUUUAAAUCUGGUUUUGGAAAUAGUAAUUUCCAAAUCAUAUGUCAGUUGAUC